AACGAACGCUGGCGGCAUGCCUAACACAUGCAAGUCGAACGAGACCUUCGGGUCUAGUGGCGCACGGGUGCGUAACGCGUGGGAACCUGCCCUUAGGUUCGGAAUCACUCCCCGAAAGGGGUGCUAAUACCGGAUAAUGUCUUCGGACCAAAGAUUUAUCGCCUUUGGAUGGGCCCGCGUUGGAUUCGCUGGUUGGUAGGGUAAAAGCCUGCCAAGGCGACGAUCCAUAGCUGGUCUGUGAGGAUGACCAGCCACGCUGGGACUGAGACACGGCCCACACUCCUACGGGAGGCAGCAGUGUGGAAUACUGGGCAAUGGGCGAUAGCCUGAUCCAGCAAUGCCGCGUGAGUGAUGAAGGCCGUAGGGUUGUAAAGCUCUUUUACCCGGGAUGAUAAUGACAGUACCGGGAGAAUAAGCUCCGGCUAACUCCGUG
RNAcentral lists this ribosomal RNA (433 nucleotides) under uncultured bacterium. Its description in RNAcentral is "partial 16S ribosomal RNA". It matches the Rfam family "Bacterial small subunit ribosomal RNA", at positions 29 to 507 of the family's 1533-position model. The record is from RNAcentral.